Long non-coding RNA from Oryzias melastigma (Indian medaka), 272 nucleotides. RefSeq lists it as uncharacterized. The transcript has 2 exons. The record is from RefSeq and is a predicted model, not a curated record. Lineage: Eukaryota; Metazoa; Chordata; Actinopteri; Beloniformes; Adrianichthyidae.
AUCUGCAGGAGAGCGACGCAGAAACAGAUUCCUGUGAGGAAACAUGAACGGAAGAAGAGAUCAGCGGGAAACGCUAAACAUCAGGAGAUUUCUCAUUUAUCUUCUGUCUCUCAUGGAUCAUGUGUGGAUCCUCUCUGGUUUCCUCCCACAGUCCAGAAACAGGAUUCAUUGGUUGGUUGGAGCUUCUGUGACCCCAAAAGGGAUGAAGCCGGAUUGGAAGAUGGAUGGAAGUUAAAGAAAGGAAUUUGACAUAAAUAUUAACCUCAAAUCUG